Molecule: long non-coding RNA, 1007 nt
Filed under: Canis lupus familiaris (dog)
Lineage: Eukaryota; Metazoa; Chordata; Mammalia; Carnivora; Canidae
Description: lncRNA (ENSCAFG00845022107.1)
Source: RNAcentral
UCACUGUGUUUUAAUGUAGAAUGAGUUUCAGGCACAUUGUCCAAUGGAUCUGAAUGCAAAAUUCAAAUCAAAUGUUGUCACAGAGUGUUUGGGAAGAAUUGUAACUUAAGCACUUUAAUAACCCCGUUAGACCUUGUCUCGGUCUGUCUGUUCAGCCAGACUUUCACUCUUUUUCUCCUCCGCAAAGUGAGUGAGGGCACACAGACAGAACCCAUCACCCCUACUAUUACCACCAACCAGAUCCUACUCUGAGUCUCUUUGUCUCCUGCAGGAGCUCCAUUCUCUUAGACUCAGAGUCCUGAAGCCUGAAUCAACUUUGACUUAUCCUUCUGACUUUUCUUCGACCUCUUGGGCAUCCAGUUUGUAGCCACAUCCUGUACUUUCUGUCCCAGCCAUGUUUCUUACAGGAAUCACUAUUUUCCCUCAUAACCUUCACCUGGAUUACUAUAACGUCCAUCUGAGUAUCGCAGUCUUCCAUUCCACCCUCCCCAUGACUCAUGCCAUACAUCACAACCACAGUGAUCUAGAACCCUAGCCUUUUAAAGAGGCAGGUCAUUUCCUUUCCAUCUUUCCUAUAGCAGAAAGUGGAGCAGCUAUUCAUCGAGUUACAAAUGCAAAAACCUUGACUCGCUUAGUAGGACCCUGAAAGACGUACAAACAGUACAUGUCCUUUAACACACUACUCUUAGUCUUCAUCAGUCCGGUGUUUCUCACAUCCAUGCAACUCUUUGGAUAACCUCAUGAAACCCCAACAAGGAGCCAAAACAAGAUGAGUCAUGAUGUAGUGACUCAGACAAGAACAAGAUGUCUCUGAAUGAAAGAAAACAGUGUGCUUCAACUACAGGAAAUCAGAAGCAGGAAUCACCAUGAGAGCCAAAAGGCAAUAUUGAAGGAGCACAUCUGCCAACUACCCCAAACUUUCCUCAGAUCUGGAAAAGUAGCUACAGCUAUCACCUUGCAACCAUGAAAGAAAGGCAAGAGAAUUACUAGGCCUUGGCCCAAACAGC